CAUUGACCUCGGAUCAGGCAGGGAUACCCGCUGAACUUAAGCAUAUCAAUAAGCGGAGGAAAAGAAACCAACAGGGAUUGCCUUAGUAACGGCGAGUGAAGCGGCAAGAGCUCAAAUUUGAAAUCUGGCCCUUUCGGGGUCCGAGUUGUAAUUUGCAGAGAGUGUUUCGGGUGAGACCACGGUCUAAGUCCAUUGGAACAUGGUGUCAUAGAGGGUGAGAAUCCCGUAUGUGACUGUGGGUGGAGCCCAAGUGAAGCCUCUUCGACGAGUCGAGUUGUUUGGGAAUGCAGCUCAAAAUGGGUGGUAAAUUUCAUCUAAAGCUAAAUACUGGCUGGAGACCGAUAGCGCACAAGUAGAGUGAUCGAAAGAUGAAAAGCACUUUGAAAAGAGAGUCAAACAGUACGUGAAAUUGUUGAAAGGGAAGCGUUUGCAACCAGACCUGCCCGUAGGUGAUCAGUCGCUGUUUUCAGUGGUGCACUCGCUCUACGAUCAGGCCAGCAUCGGUUCGGGCGGCCGGACAAAGGCCCUGGGAAUGUAGCUCUCCCCGGGGAGUUUUAUAGCCCUCGGUGCCAUGCGGCCAGCCUGGAUCGAGGACCGCGCUUCGGCUAGGAUGCUGGCGUAAUGGCUGUAAACGACCCGUCUUGAAACACGGACCAAGGAGUCUAACAUCUAUGCGAGUGUUUGGGUGUCAAACCCGUACGCGGAAUGAAAGUGAACGGAGGUGAGAACCCCUAAGGGCGCAUCAUCGACCGAUCCAAAUGUCUUCGGAUGGAUUUGAGUAUGAGCAUAGCUGUUGGGACCCGAAAGAUGAUGAACUAUACUUGAAUAGGGUGAAGCCAGAGGAAACUCUGGUGGAGGCUCGCAGCGGUUCUGACGUGCAAAUCGAUCGUCAAAUUUGGGUAUAGGGGCGAAAGACUAAUCGAAUCUAGUAGCUGGUUCCUGCC
This 944-nucleotide ribosomal RNA is filed under the name Pseudephebe pubescens. Its description in RNAcentral is "eukaryotic LSU rRNA". It matches the Rfam family "Eukaryotic large subunit ribosomal RNA", at positions 1 to 962 of the family's 3401-position model. Lineage: Eukaryota; Fungi; Ascomycota; Lecanoromycetes; Lecanorales; Parmeliaceae. The record is from RNAcentral.